Molecule: ribosomal RNA, 468 nt
Filed under: uncultured bacterium
Lineage: Bacteria
Description: partial 16S ribosomal RNA
Rfam family: Bacterial small subunit ribosomal RNA
Source: RNAcentral
GACGAACGCUGGCGGCGUGCUUAACACAUGCAAGUCGAACGGAAAGGCCCUGCUUUUGUGGGGCGCUCGAGUGGCGAACGGGUGAGUAACACGUGAGUAACCUGCCCUUGACUUUGGGAUAACUUCAGGAAACUGGGGCUAAUACCGGAUAGGAGCUCCUGCUCCAUGGUGGGGGUUGGAAAGUUUCGGCGGUUGGGGCUGGAUUCGCGGUGUAUCAGCUUGUUGGUGGGGUAGUGGCUUACCAAGGCAUCGACGGGUAGCCGGCCUGGGAGGGUGACCGGGCACCAUGGGCCUGAGAUACGGCCCAGACUCGUACGGGAGGCAGCGGUGGGGAAUCUUACAGAGCGGGCGGAAGCCAGAUGCGACGACGCCGCGUGCGGGAUACCGGCCUUCGGGUGGAAAACCGCUUUCGCCGGUGACGAAGCGUGAGUGACGGUAAUGGAUAAAGAAGCACUGGCUAACUACGUG